UGGACCCAGGUGACCCUGCCCUGUUACACCUGUGGCCAAUGCCAGGCAUGGAGGGGAGUGCUAAAGGUUGAGAACUAGCCCAGUUUGGGGUUGAUGAAGGAGGACAGAACUCUCCUUGGUGGGAGAAAAGCCUCAUUACAGCCCUGAUACAGCACUUGCUUACCAGCUGCAUCAGCCCUCCUGGAAGGGAUGACCAAACCCUGGGGGGAAACAAUUGUCAGAAACAUGGAUGGUUUGAAAGACAAGCCCUGAAUAGAAGGGUGGUGCACCCUAAAGACUCCUGGGAUGACCCUGUUUUUGAGUUGUGUUUGGUUUGUUCCCGAUUACUGUAGAACCUUAAAACCCCUAAACAGGUAUGACUGAAGGGGGCUUUGCCUGGAGAGCUAAAGCAUCUUUGCUCUGGACCUCACAGAGAAGAGACAUAGCCAUGAAGACUUGCAGUUGGCAUGGCCUUCAAGCAAACAACUGAGAAAAAGACAAUGUUGACUCUGUAUUCAAGGCCAACAGAAACUUGGUCUCUGUCAGAUCAAGCCAGCAGAGCAAAUUACUUAAUGGAGGAAGCUGCACUGAGAAUACCCUGUCACCAGCCCAACAACACUGAAAACCAGAGACCAUUGGAGCAAGCAGAACAUUGCCAUGGAGCAUUAGAGGCUGAGUGGUGAUGGACUCAGAUAGCUCAAGAGGGCUGUAUAAACCAAAACAAACACCUUGAAUCGCAACCAGAAGUGAAUAUGAAGCCCAUGCAUUGUC
Molecule: long non-coding RNA, 750 nt
Organism: Dermochelys coriacea (leatherback sea turtle)
Lineage: Eukaryota; Metazoa; Chordata; Testudines; Dermochelyidae
Exons: 2
Source: RefSeq, a predicted model, not a curated record